This 467-nucleotide ribosomal RNA is filed under the name uncultured bacterium. RNAcentral's name for it is "partial 16S ribosomal RNA". The stretch from base 20 to 328 matches the Rfam family "Bacterial small subunit ribosomal RNA", at positions 47 to 358 of the family's 1533-position model. The record is from RNAcentral.
GACGAACGCUGGCGGCGUGCUUAACACAUGCAAGUCGAACGGAAAGGCCCUGCUUUUGUGGGGUGCUCGAGUGGCGAACGGGUGAGUAACACGUGAGUAACCUGCCCUUGACUUUGGGAUAACUUCAGGAAACUGGGGCUAAUACCGGAUAGGAGCUCCUGCUGCAUGGUGGGGGUUGGAAAGUUUCGGCGGUGGGGGAUGGACUCGCGGCUUAUCAGCUUGUUGGUGGGGUAGUGGCUUACCAAGGCUUUGACGGGUAGCCGGCCUGAGAGGGUGACCGGCCCCAUAGGGAUAGGGGAGCGACCAGUGGGCAAACGGGGGGAAUGGGCGGGAAAUAGUGCAAGAUGGGCGGAGGGGGGGAGGAGGGACGCCGGGUGGGGAAGGACGGUUGUGGGGUAGGAAAACGCGUUGGCUAGUAACGAGGCGUGAGGACGGGUAAUGAGGAAAAAGGCACGGGUUAACUAGGG